Cygnus olor (mute swan) is the source of this 931-nucleotide long non-coding RNA. RefSeq lists it as uncharacterized. The transcript has 3 exons. NCBI's taxonomy places the organism in Eukaryota, Metazoa, Chordata, Aves, Anseriformes, Anatidae. The record is from RefSeq and is a predicted model, not a curated record.
CUCUUCACCCACAGGGCUGUCAUUUCUCCAUGAUUGGUCAAGGAGGAUUUGCCCAUGGUAAAGCUGUGCUGACUGGCUCCUGAUUACUUUCUUGCUAACCAUAUGUUUGGAAAUGGACUCCAAGAGAAUGUGUUCCAUGAUUUCUCCAGGGACUAAGUAGGUGACUGAAGUACUGACUUUCUUUGACUCCAAAGAGCAUGAUCCAAAAAGCAUGUUGAAAGACCAAAUCAAUGGAAUCAAAAAGGACAAGUAAUGUAUUUCCACAUACCAGAAGUAUGAUCAUCCAGAAUUCCCUGCAGAGUUCCUUUCAUAACCCAAUUUUGAAAUCUUUUGUGAAGAAUAUGUGCACCAUUUAACCCAUUUUGUCCUAGGCUUCAGGGAAACAAAACAUUUUGAAAUUGAGGGGUAUGUAACCUGACAGCACACAGGCAAGAAAUUGGAUGAUGGUAUUGGCCUUGGAGGUCAUCUGUAUCUUGUGCCUAGGGGAAGAACCCAGAAGAGACCCCUCUGAUAUCCAGGUGGACAAAAAAAAAAAAAAAAUAAGGCUGAAAAGAACUUUCUCCUAGAACUGAAGUUGCACUGUUUUGUGUUCUGGUGAUCAAGGAAGAAACAGCAACAAUAGUGACAAGUCACAUCAUGCAGAUAAAUUUAAAAGCAAUUUUCAGUGGAAGUAGAAGAGGAAGGGGUAAGGGAUUAUUAAGAGAGAUUAAUCACAAAGAGAUGUUAUGCUGUCCCUCAUUUGGGCCCAGGACUGUAUUUAUAUACGUGUAUGUGAUAAACAAAUCUUAAGCUGAAAAUUGUAAUGUGAUUUCUCAGAACAUCCUUUGAUGUUAGAUACAAGCUGAAAAAUAAUCUUCACUUGUAAAUCCGUGUCACUGAGUUUAUCAAAAAUGUACACUGAAAUAAGAAGGCUUAGAGUUAAAAAUAAAAA